CGGAAAAGUCUCCGAAUUGGAUCGAGGUUUUGGCUACCCCACCAUUGUCAGGCAUCCCGAGCGCGUUCCCGAAGUCGGAAUCGGCAGAGGUGAGCCGGGACAGCCUUCUUCCUCCGCCCAGCCGCCACAGUAAUUUGUCGUCAAGUCUGCCACAGGAGGAUAUUUUGUUCUGGGUUAACCUGCCUUUUUACCUCGCAGGUUGUUUAUCAAUAUUAUGUAAUUUUAAUUACUCCUAGAAUUUUCGCAUGUGUUAGCAGUAAUUAUUUGAAAUUGGUCUGUAAUAUUAUAUUCAUGUUGGACCUAUAAACUUAAUAUUUUAAGUCUGUUUGA
Long non-coding RNA from Hevea brasiliensis (rubber tree), 330 nucleotides. RefSeq lists it as uncharacterized. The transcript has 3 exons. Lineage: Eukaryota; Viridiplantae; Streptophyta; Magnoliopsida; Malpighiales; Euphorbiaceae. The record is from RefSeq and is a predicted model, not a curated record.